AUAAUGUACACAUGAUGUGUUGUUUGAGAUAAAAUCUUCCUAUAUAGGUCUGGCUGUCUGGGAAUUGUCUAUGUACAUCAAUUGGCCAUAAACUCACAGAGAUGCCUCCUGCUUCUAUCUCAAGAGUUCUGGGAUUAAACCAUUUUAAAAGAUUGUUGACAAAAAUUAUAUAUAUUCAUGAUAUUUAAAAUGACACUUUGAAAGUUAUAUAUUGUGAAAUGGUGAAAUCAGGCUAGUUAAGUCAAUAACCUCAUAUAUUUUGUGGUGAAACAUUUAAAAUUUUAGUGAUUUUUUCAAGUAUAUAAUAUUACUAUAGUUACUAUGUCACACAUUGGAUUAUUAUAUAUGAACAGUUGGUUUUCUUUAAAAAGUUAAUUAAUGUUUGGUGCUUAGGAUCGACCAAGGACCUAACUCAUGCUCUGUACCACUGAGCUAUUCCUCCCUCACAAUUGUGAACUUAGAUAAGUAUAAGACAACAGUGGACUAGGAGUGUAUCUCAGUGACUGAACACUUGUACAUUGAGGCCAUGAGUUUUGUUCUCAGAGUUUCAGAGAGUGGGGAUUGUGGGUAGACAAGAGAAAAUAUGGUAGUCAUUUUAUGGGUUGUAGAUUCAAAAGCAGCAUGAUUUCUGUGGUUAUAGUGGCACAGGCAAAGGCCAGCCUCUUUCAGGAUUAGCAUUCUCUCUUUUUAAAAGAAUUAUUUUUUAUUUUUUAAAUGGUUUUUUUCUGGUUUUCUGAGACAGGCUUCUCUGUGUAACAGCCCUAGCUGUCCUGGAAUUCACUUUGUAGAUCAGACAUGUCUCAACCUCACAGAGAUCAUCCUGCCAGUCUCCCCAUUCCUGGGAUAACAGUUGUAUGCUACAAUGUCCGGCUCUAUUUUUUAAUUUUUUUAAUUAGAAAAUUAUUUUACAUGUCAAUCCCAGGUCCCUCUCCCUCCCCUCCUCUCCUGCCCCCCCCAACAAACACCCUACCUAUCCCAUACCCUUUCUGCUCCCCAGGAGGUAAGGCCUUCCAUAGGGGUUCUUAAGUCUGUCAUAUUCUUUGGGAUGAGGCCUAGGCAGCCCCCUUGUGUCUAGGCUCAGGGAGUAUCCCUCCAUGUGGGAUGGGCUCCUAAAGUCCAUUCCUAUGGUAGUCAUAAGUAUUGAUUCCAAGGUCUCCUCACUGACACCCACAUUCAGGGGGUCUGGAUCAGUCCCAUGCUGGUUUCCCAGCUAUCCCUCUGGGAACCAAGAGUUUUCCCUUGUUCAGGUUAGCUGUUUCUGUGGGUUUCACCAGCCUGGUAUAGACCACUUUGCUCAUCAAUCCUCCUUCUCUGAAUCUGGAUUUCAGUUUAGUUCAAGGUUUAGCUGUGGGUGCCUGCUUCUACUCCCACCAGCUGCUGGCUGAAGUCUAUAUGAUGGCACAUGAAUUCGUCAUCAAUCUCAUUAUCAGGAGAGGGCAUUAAAGGUAGCCUCACCUCUGUUGCUUAGAUUGUUAGUUGGUGUCAUCUCUGUAGCUCUCCAGACAGUUCCCUAGUACCUGAUUUCUCUUUGCACUUAUAAUGUCUCACUCUAUUAUAUUAUCUCUUAUCUUGCUCUCUUCUGUUCUUCCCCCAACUCAAACUCCCUGUACCAUAAUGUCUUCCUCACCCCUUUUUUUCUUCCUUUCUCAUUCUCCUAGUUCCCCCUUCCUUCCCUCAUGCUCCCAAUUUGCUCAGCAGAUCUUGUCCCUUUCCAGGGGGCCAUGUAUGUCUCUCUUAGGGUCCUCCUUGUUUACCAGCUUCUCUGGCAGCCUGGGCUACAGGCUGGCAAUCCUUUACUCUAUGUCUAAAAUCCACAUAUGAAUAAGUACAUAUAAUGCCUGUCUUUUUGUGACUGGGUUACCUUGCUCAGAAUGGUUUCUUCUAGUUCCAUCCAUUAGCCUAUGAAUUUAAAGAUUUCAUUGCUAUUUUUCCCCACUGCAUAGUACUCCAUUGUGUAAAUGUUUCACAUUUUCUCUAUCUAUUUUUCAGUUGAGGGGCAUAUAGGUUGUUUCCAGGUUCUGGCUACUACAAAUAAGGCUGCUAUGAACAUAGUUGAAUACAUGUCCUCGUUGUAGAAAUGUGCUUCUUUUGGCUAUAUGCCUAAGAGAGGAAUUGCUGGAUCUUGUGGUAGACUGAUUGCUAUUUUUCCUGAGGAAUCGCCAUACAGAUUUCCAGAGUGGCUGUACGUGUUGGCACUCCCACUAGCAGUGGAGGAGUGUUCCCAUUUCUCCACAAACUCUCCAGCAUAAACUGUCAUUGGUGUUUUGAUUUUAGCCAUUAUGACAGGUGUAAGAUGGUAUCUCAGAGUUGUUUUGAUUUGUAUUUCCCUGAUGGCUAAGGAUUUUGAACACUUUCUUGUGUGUCUUUCAUCCAUUUUAGAUUUCUCUAUUGAGCAUUGUCUUAUUAAGUACUGUACCUCAGUUUUUAAACGUUUUAUUUAUUUAUUGUGUAUACAACAUUCUGCCUCCAAGUGUGCCUGCAGGCCAGAAGAGGGCACCAGAUCUAUUUACAGAUGGUUGUCAGCCAACAUGUGCUUGCUGGGAUUGAACUCAGGACCUCUGGAAGAGCAGGCAGUGCUCUUAACCUCUGAACCAUCUCUCUAGUUCCCCUGUACCCCACUUUUUAAUUGGAUUAUUUGAUGUUUUGGAGAUGAGCUUAAGUUAUUUGUAAAUUUUGGAGAUCAGCCCUAUGUCAGAUGUGCGGUUGGUGAAUAUCUUUUCCCAGUCUGUGGGCUGCCGUUUUGUCUUGUUGACAGUGACUUUUGCCUUAGAGAAGCUUCUCAGUUUCAGGAGGUCCCAUUUAUUAAUUGUGGAUCUCAGUGUCUGUGCUACUGGUAUUAUGUUCAGGAAUCUGUCUCCUGUACCAAUUUGUUCAAGGGUAUUUCCUACUUUUUCUUCUAAUAAGUUCAGUGUAGCUGUGGUCAUGUUGAGGACUUUGAGCCAUUUGGACUUAAGUUUUGUACAUGGAGAUAGACAAGGAUCAGUCUGCAGUCUUUUACAUGCCAGCAUCCAGUUAUGCCAGCACCAUUUAUUAAAGAUGCUUUCUUUAUUCCAUCGAAUAAAUUUAGCUUCUUUUAAAAAAUCUAUUGUUUGUAGGUGUGUGGGUUAAUAUUGGGCUUUUCAACUAUAUUCCAUUGGUCUACCUGUCUAUUAUUGUGCCAAUAACAAGCUGUUUUCAGGACUAUAGCUCUGUAAUAGAGGUUGAAGUCAGGGAUGGUGAUGCCUCUGGAAGUUCCUUUAUUGUACAGGGUUGUUUUGGCUAUCCUGGGUCUUUUGUUUAUCCAUAUGAAGUUAAGAAUUGCUCUUUCAAGUUCUGUGAAGGAUUGUGUUGGGAUUUUGAUGGGGAUUGUGUUGAAUCUCUAGAUUGCUUUUGGCAAGAUUCCCAUUUUUAGUGUGUUGAUCCUACCUAUCCAAGAACAUGGGAGAACUUUCCAUUUUUUGGUUUCUUCUUUAAUUUCUUUGUUUAGAGACAAAAAUUUCUUACAGUACAGAUCUUUCACUUUUUUGGUUAGCAUUACCUCAAGGAAUUUUAUAUUGUUUGUGGCAAUUGUAACUAUUUCUUCAUGAAUGGAUCCUCUGUAUACAGUAGUGCUACAGGUUUUUUUUGAGUUAAUCUUGUAUCCUGCCACGUUGCUGAAGGUGUUUAUCAGCUGUAGGAGUUCCCAGGUAGAGUUUUUCAGUUCACUUAUGUAGACUAUCAUAACAUCUGGAAACAGUGAAAGCUUGACUUCUUCCUUUCCAAUUUGUAUCUCCUUGAUCUUCUUUUGUUGUCUGAUUGCUCUAGCUAGAACUUCAAGGACAAUAUUGAAGAGAUAUGGAGAGAGUGGGCAGCUUUGUCUUGUUCCUGAUUUUGGAGGAAUAGCUUUGAGUUUCUCUCCAUUUAGUUUGAUGUUGGCUGUUGGCUUACUGUAUAUUGUUUUUAUUAUGUUCAGGUAUGUUCUUGUUAUUCCUGAUCUCUCCAGGUCAUAUAUCAUGAACAGACGUUGGUUUUGUCAAAGGCUUUUUUCAGAAUCUAGUGUGAUGAUCAUGUGGUAUUUCAUCUUCAGUUGCUUUAUAUGGUGGAUUACAUUGAUAGAUUUUUGAAUGUUGUACUAACCCUGCAUCCCAGGGAUGAAGCUUCCGUGAUCAUGGUGGAUGAUUUUUUUAAAUAUACUUGGAUUCGGUUUGCUAGUAUUUUAUUCAGUAUUUUUGCAUCUAUGUUCAUGGGGUAUAUUGUUCUGUAGUUCACUUUCUUAGUUGUGUCUUUGUGUGGCUUGGGUAACCAAGGUAAUUGUAGCCUUGUAAAAAGAGUUUGGCAAUGAACAUUCUGCUUCUAUUGUGUGAAACAAUUCAAAAAGUAUUGGUAUUAGCUCUUAUUUGAAUUUCUGGUGGAAUUCUACACUGAAGCCAUCUGUCCCUGGCCUUUUAUUGGUUGGGAGACAUUUGAUGACUUCUUCUGUUUAUUUAAAGGUUAUGGGCCUGUUUAAGUUGGCUAUCUCUUUUGAUUCAAUUUUGGGUAAGUGAUAUCUGUCCAAAAAAUUGUACAUUUCUUUUAAAUUUUUGAAUUUUGUGGAGUACAGGUUUUCAAACUAUGACCUCAAGAUUCUCUGGAUUUGCUUUAAAUUUUUGAAUUUUGUGGAGUACAGGUUUUCAAACUAUGACCUCAAGAUUCUCUGGAUUUGCUUUAAAUUUUUGAAUUUUGUGGAGUACAGGUUUUCAAGUAUGACCUCAAGAUUCUCUGGAUUUCCUAAGUGCCCUCCUUUUCAUAUCUGAUUUUGUUAAUUAGCAUGCUCUCUCUGUCUCUCUGACUUUUGGUUAGUUUGGAUAAAGUUUUGUCCAUCUUGCUGAUUUUUCUUGAAGAACCAACUCUUUGUUACAUUGAUUCUUUCAAUUUUUUUCGUUCUUUCAACUUUAUUGAUUUCUGCCCUCAAUUUGAUUAUUUCCUGUUGUCUACUCCUCCAGGGUGAAUUUGCUUCUAUUUGUUCCAUCUGUGAUGUCAUAUCUCUGGUGUGACUAUUCUCUAGUUUCUUCAUGUGAGCUCUUAGAAUUAUGGACUUUCCUCUUAGUACUGCUUUCAAAGUGUCCCAGAAGUUUGGGAAUGUUGUGUCUUCUUUUUCGUUGAAUUCAAGAAAGUCUUUAAUUUCUUUCUUUAUUUCUUCCUUGACUCAGGAAUGGUGCAAUUGCAUGUUGUUCAAUUUCCAUGAGUUUGUAGGUUUUCUGCAAUUUGUGUUGUUUUUGAUUUCUAACUUUAAGGCAUGGUGGUCUAAUAAGACACAGGCCAUUUUCCCAACUUUUUUGUACCUGUUGAGCUUUGCUAUGUUGCUGAGUAUGUGAUGCUGAAAAGAAGAAAUAUUCUUUUGUGUUUGGAUGGAAAGUUCUAUAGAUGUCUGUUAAUCCCAAUUGGGUCAUAGCUUCUGUUAGUUCCUUUGUCUCUUUGUUAAGUUUCUGUCUGGUAGUCCUGUCCAGUGGUGUGAGUGGGGUGUUGAAGUCUCCCAGUAUAACUGUGUGAGGUCCUGUUUGUGAUUUGAGUUUUAAUAAUGUUUCUUUUAUGAAUGUUGAUGCCUUUGUAUUUGGGGCAUAGAUGUUUAGAAUUGAGACUUCUUCCUGAUGGAAUUUUCCUGUGAUGAAUAUGAAAUGCCCUUCUUCAUCUCUUUUGAUUGAUUUUAGUUUGAAGUCUAACUUGCUAGAUAAUAGGGUAGCUAGCCAAGCUCAUUUCUUGGGUCCAUUUGAUUGGAAUAUCUUAUCCCAACACUUUCCUCUGAGGUAAUGUCUGUUUUGAAGUUGAUGUGUGUUUCUUGUAUGCAGCAGAAGGAAGGAUUCUGUCUCUGUAUCCACUCUGUAAGACUGUGUCUUUUGAUAGGCGAGUUAAGACCAUUAAUAUUGAGGAAAAUUAAGGACCAUUGAGUGCUUAUUCUUGUUUGUUUUUUAUUUGGUGUUGGUAGUGGUAUUGUAGGUGGAUUUACCCUGCUUUUUUGGGGGGGUUGAUAAAGUGGGAUUAUCUAUUGCCUAUGUUUUUUGUGUGUAGUAAAUUUCCUUAGGUUGUAGUUUUCCUUCCAAUACUUUCUGUAGGGCUGGAUUAGUGGUUAUACAUUGUUUAAAUAUGGUUUUGCCAUUGAAUGUCUUAUUUUCUCCAUUUAUAGUGACUGAAAUCUUUGCUGGGUAUAGUUUUCUGGGCUGGCAUCUGUAUUCUCUUAGAGUUGGUAGAAUAUCUAUCCAGGUCCUUCUGGCUUUCUGAGUUUCCAUUCAGAAGUCCCGUCUACUUUAUAUGUUACUUGGCCUUUUUCCUUUGCUGCUAUUAAUGUUCAUUGUUUAUUCUGUAUGUUUUGUGUUUUAUUAUGUGAUGAUGGGACUUUCUUUUGUGGGGCAAAUCUGGCUCUAUUAUUUUAGUGUUAUAAGUGCAUGUAAGUAUGAGCACUGUAUGUGUGGCUGGUUCCUGAUGAAGCCAGAAGAGGGCGCCAGAUUAUUUGGAACUGGACUUGCACAGAUGGUUGUAAGCCUUAUGUGUUCAAGGUGUGUUGAACCCUUUUCCUCAAGAAGAAUAGCAGGUGCUCUUAGCUGCUGAGUCAGGUCUCUAGCCCAGUAAUUGGGAAUCUCUUAAUGAACCCUUUUUCAAAUAACUAGUAUACCUUUGCUUUUCUGUCAGUGUAUCCUGUCAUUCUCAGAUUACAGUAGGGUGGUGAGUUUCCCAGAGAGACAGUGCUUACUAAAAUAUUUGCCCUGUAGGAAAGAGGAGCCCGCAUUUUAUCAUCUUCAGAAAACAGGUGAGAGACACCUAUUAGAAUUUUUGUGAUUAUUAUUUAUUAUAGCAAAGUACUCCGUGAAAUAUUUGAUAUGGAUGGAGUGAGCAAAUGAUUUGCUGAUUUACUUAGUAAAUUAAAUUUAUCACAUGGGUGUUAGAGUGCAUACCUAUAAUCCCAGAACUCAGAUAGCUGGGCCAGAAAGAUAAAGAGUUUGAGGCUCUCUUAGCAUACACAUUAAGAUCCUGUCUAUAAAAGUAAAUUAAAGGUUUCAAAAUUUCUGAUUCCUAGGCAUCUCUUAGGAAAAUUACCUCACAGAUGAGUACCCAGAAUCUAUGUUUUUAGAAAAAGAUUUUUAAAAGUGUGUGUGGAGGGGGGGGAGGUGUUGCCUUAGAGGCCAGAACAGCAUUCCAUUAGAUCCUGAGUUACAUGUAGUUUGGAGCCACUCAAUGUGGGUGCUGGCGGCUUUGGAAAACCAGGAAGUGCUCUUAACCAUUGAACCAUCCCCCCAGCCUUGAGAAACUGUAUGGUUAAAGAAUGUUUUCAGGUGAGGUAUUCUUAUAUAAUAGAUAUAGUAGUGUCCAAUGACAGGUUUGAUAGUCACAAUGUUUAGGGUAGUUAUCAAAAAAUGUUAAAUAACACCAAAUAUACACAGAAAAGAAUCAACAAAUAUAUUGAAAGAUUUUAUAAAUGUAUCAGGAUAUAUUUUACUUACUUAAAAAUCCUUUUUAUGAAACUGACACCUUAAUUUUUUCCUCCUCAUAACAAUGAACAGUAAACUUUGCCUCAUGGAUCCCCAUGUAUAUUUCCAAGCAGGAAUCUGUGAAAAAUCUGUGAAAAUUUGAGGUACAGUGACAUAGUACUGACUCCAUCCACCUCCAGAAACUUACUUGAAGUAGGAAUAUCUUACGUGAUGCUGUUACUUCCCAAGGUGGCACUGUGAAAAAGAAUUUCUCUGUUAUGCAACUAGCUAUAGUGUACUGUAGGGAAUGCUGCAUGUUUGGUUGUGAUAAAUGGAGGACUUGUUGUUCUUGGGUUUUCUUUUGUGCCCUCAUAGUCAUCCAGAGGCUUUCAUCUCAUCCAAGCUGUUAUUCUCUAUUCCAGGCUUGCAGCUAGAAUCAAGGCUGGGAAUUCUGAAGGACUGGGGAUGGUGUGAGUUCAUGAUCUCUGCCCAUAGACAGGUGUUGUCCUCAUCUGGGCAUCCUGGGUGCAGGAUUUGUAGAGUACUUCCCUGCAGCACAAGGAUUAUCUGGCCAGAAGUGUCCAUCCAUUUUCAGCACUGAAAAAGAUUGGCAGAAGAAGGCAGGGUCUGUGGGUGAAAGACCUGCACGGCUUCCAGCAUGUGCAUGCCGAGGCUUGGAGCAGGAGGCAAUGUCAUGAAUUGUGAAGCACUUUAGAUGGGAGCAGUCAAUGAUCUGUCCCCAAAGACAGGUGGUGUCUUCACCUACACAUCCUGUGUGCAGGCAUUGCAGAGCUCUGGACUCUGCAGCUGACAGAUUGUCUGGCCUGGAGGUGUCAAUCCCAGGGAUGUCUCCAUUUCCACUACUUAAAAAGAGUGAAGGAAGAAGACAGUGUCUGGUGAGUGAGAUGCUCCUCUCCUUUGAGUGCCCCUACAGCAUUGGGGCAGGGUUUCCUAUAGCUCUGCUUGAGUAGCAAGUGCAUCACCUUUGUUUGGAGACUCAUAGUACUCUUCAGUGUUUUGUGGUGACCAUGUAAUGUUGUGUCCUCUCAGAUGUUUGUGUGUUCCUUUGUGUUUGUGUGGUGUGUGCAUGCAUAGUGAUCACUGGUAGGUUACAGAAUUCCCUUGGCCUGUGGUCUUCCCUCACCCUCCCCUUUGUCUUUGAAAUAGUGCCUCUCCUUUCUUUGGAAGUUUGCUCUUAGGCAGGUCAUCGUGUCUAAAGGUUCCAAAACUUACAUGUGUCUUUAUCUUGUUUCAGUCUCUGUCAUUACUACUAUGUCCCCAGAAAGCUUGGUUUUUAUAGGUGGUUAGGUUACUGCACCCAAUUCCCCACUCCUGACAGCCCACCAGUUGUAGAACCCUGACUUUUAUCCAGCCCCACUUUUCAGAGACUUCUAUAAGUGGCAUGACAAUUAGUUUAAGGAGGUGAAAUCUUUGGGCUGGAGGGUUACUUUCUCCCAUCAUUGAGACAGAAUGAUUGGGAUGGGGAGCCAGAGGCAAAGCUAUCCUCUUGGGACUCCCAUUCUUCCUCUGUGUGGGUAUUAAGAUCUAAAAUAUUAUCCCACAUGGCUAUCAUGGACCUGGAGGAGAGGGUGGCAUUCUGGUCCAUGACAGUUACAGUGAAGUCUUUCCUGUCAGUGCUUUCUGUGAGAUCCCAUGGGAGAGCACUUGGAUAAGAGAGUGCUAAGGUAGAGAUCUGGUUCUGGCCAGUCAGUGCACUCAGCUUGUUCAUGCCAGCUCAUUGAUAAAGGUAGGCACUGUCCAUGAGCUGCUGGUCACAAGUGCUGGGAUCUGAUGGCAGGAGCCAUGCAGAACUCACAGCUGGUGUGGAGACCCUGGAGAAGUUGCACACACUUCCUGCUGAAGGUGUGGAAUUCCUCAGCACAGGCACAGAAGGCCUCAGAGCACAUUCUGUCCCAAAGAAUGGUGUGCUUUGGAAAUUUGGAAAUUAACUGUAGAAAGCAAGAGAACACUGAGAAAAUUGUGAGAUGGAAAUUUUGUAGCUUCCUGUGAAGAUCUGUGUUAUGGCCAGGUUGUCCUGUCUGGGUUUGUCUGUAACCCAUGUUCC
Molecule: long non-coding RNA, 9462 nt
Filed under: Cricetulus griseus (Chinese hamster)
Lineage: Eukaryota; Metazoa; Chordata; Mammalia; Rodentia; Cricetidae
Description: lncRNA (ENSCGRG00015029603.1)
Source: RNAcentral